UAAAAAAACGACCUGCCGUGUUGCCUAUGU
This 30-nucleotide non-coding RNA is filed under the name Mus musculus (house mouse). The record is from RNAcentral. Lineage: Eukaryota; Metazoa; Chordata; Mammalia; Rodentia; Muridae.